RNAcentral lists this ribosomal RNA (397 nucleotides) under uncultured bacterium. RNAcentral's name for it is "partial 16S ribosomal RNA". It matches the Rfam family "Bacterial small subunit ribosomal RNA", at positions 523 to 918 of the family's 1533-position model. The record is from RNAcentral.
AUACGUAGGGGGCGAGCGUUGUCCGGAAUGACUGGGCGUAAAGGGCGUGUAGGCGGCCGACUAAGUCUGGAGUGAAAGUCCUGUUUUCAAGGUGGGAAUAGCUUUGGAUACUGGUUGGCUUGAGUGCGGAAGAGGUAAGUGGAAUUCCCAGUGUAGCGGUGAAAUGCGUAGAGAUUGGGAGGAACACCAGUGGCGAAGGCGACUUCCUGGGCCGUAACUGACGCUGAGGCGCGAAAGCGUGGGGAGCGAACAGGAUUAGAUACCCUGGUAGUCCACGCGGUAAACGAUGAAUGCUAGGUGUUGCGGGUAUCGACCCCUGCAGUGCCGGAGUCAACACAAUAAGCAUUCCGCCUGGGGAGUACGGCCGCAAGGUUGAAACUCAAAUGAAUUGACGGGG